This 254-nucleotide ribosomal RNA is filed under the name uncultured bacterium. RNAcentral's name for it is "partial 16S ribosomal RNA". It matches the Rfam family "Bacterial small subunit ribosomal RNA", at positions 524 to 776 of the family's 1533-position model. The record is from RNAcentral.
UACGUAGGGGGCGAGCGUUGUCCGGAUUUAUUGGGCGUAAAGAGCUCGUAGGCGGUUGGGCAAGUCACGUGUGAAAUCUCCACGCUCAACGUGGAGGCGCCACGUGAGACUGCCCUGACUAGAGUCCGGUAGGGGAGCGUGGAAUUCCCGGUGUAGCGGUGAAAUGCGCAGAGAUCGGGAGGAACACCCGUAGCGAAGGCGGCGCUCUGGGCCGGUACUGACGCUGAGGAGCGAAAGCGUGGGGAGCGAACAGG